CCUAUCAAACCCUAUCAAACCCUAUCAAAAACCUGCCAAACCCAAUCAAAUCCUAUCAAACUCUAUCAAACCCUAUCAAAAGCUAUCAAACCCCAUCAAACUCCAUCAAAAACCUACCAAACCCUAUCAAACCCUAUCACACCUUAUCAAACACUAUCAAAACCCUAUCAAAUCCUAUCAAACUGUAUCACACCCUAUCAAACGCUAUCAUAACCCUAUCAAACCCUAUCAAACCUUAUCAAGCGCUAUCUAACCCUAUCAAAAUCCCAUCACACUCUAUCAAACCCUAUCAGAAACCCCAUCACACCCUAUCAAACGCUAUCAAACCCCUAUCAAACGCUCCCCCCACUCUUUCCCAGUCUCGCUGACGCUGGACGAGAGCUGCACCCACCCGGCCCUGCUGAUCCGGGGCCGAUCCUGGAUCUGCCCCAAUCCCGGAUCCCGAAUCCCCGGAUCCCAAAUCCCCGGCCCCGAUCCCGGAUCCCAAAUCCCUGGAUCCCAAAUCCCUGGCUCCGAUCCCGGAUCCCGGCCCCGCCUCGGGGCCCUGGCCGUGACUCGGGAGGGAUUUUCCCACGGGAAGCAUUACUGGGAAGUGGAGCUGGGAGACGGCAGCGAUUGGGAGCUGGGCGUGCUCCCGCAGGAGGUCCGGGAUUCCAUCCGGGAUUCCAUCCGGGAUUCCAUCCGGGAUUCCCUGAGGGAUUCCCUGAGGGAUUCCCUGCAGGAUCCCACCCCAGAUUCCACCCUGGAUUCCAUCCCGGAUUCCCUGCAGGAUGAUUCCCUGAGGGAUGAUUCCCUGCGAGAUUCCAUUCGGGAUCCCAUCCCGGGUUCUCUGCAGGAUCCCCUGCGGAAUUCCACCCCAAAUCCCAUCCCGGAUCCCAUCCCGAAUUCCCUGCGGGAUCCCAUCCCAGAUUCCAUCCUGGAUCCCAUCCUGGAUUCCAUCCUGGAUCCCAUCCCGAAUUCCAUCCCUGAUUCCCUGCAAGAUUCCAUUCAGGAUCCCAUCCCAAAUUCCAUCCUGAAUCCCAUCCCGGACCCCAUCUUGGAUCCUACCCCGAAUUCCCACCGGUACCAUCCCAUCCCCUCCAUCCCAAAUCCCACCCUGAAUUCCCACCAGGAUCACCCCAUCCCCUCCAUCCCGGACCCCACCCCGAAUUCCCACCGCUACCACCCCCUCCCCUCCAUCCCGGACCCCACCCCAGGUUCCCACCGCUGCCCGUCCCUGGCGCGCUCCCGGGGCGAGCUCCGGCUCCGGGGCGCGCUCCUGCAGCGCAGCCCGGGGCGCUGCCGCGUGCUCGGGGUGCUGCUGGAUCUCGAGCGGCGCCGCCUCCGCUUCUUCGACGCCGAGGAGCGGCGGCUGCUGGGAUCGGCGGCCCUGGAAAGCCCAAACGGGAAUCUGUUCCCGUUCUUCAGGCCGGGAGCGGGCGGGAGCGGGCUGGGGAUCCGCCCCGUCAGGGCUUGAAACAGGGCUGGGGGAUAUUCGGGUGUGAAACUUAAAUUUUCAGGUCUUUAUUGUAAUUAUUCUCAUUUUAAAAUUCUGAUUGUCCCCUAGAAUAAACGCUUGUAAAUAUUCA
RNAcentral lists this long non-coding RNA (1568 nucleotides) under Junco hyemalis (dark-eyed junco). RNAcentral describes it as "lncRNA (ENSJHYG00000001039.1)". Lineage: Eukaryota; Metazoa; Chordata; Aves; Passeriformes; Passerellidae. The record is from RNAcentral.